GGCUAGCACCCCUCAAGGCAAAUAGGCUUCUGCACUGUAGAAUAAUCUUACCAUUUUAAUAGGUGCUGCUCUACCCUUCAGUCAUUCCACAGAUCAUGGCUUUCUGGCUUUUCCUCUUUUAGAGUGUCUGCUUCUCACAAUCACAAUACUAGCUUCCCUGUUUUAGGCAAA
Pteropus vampyrus (large flying fox) is the source of this 171-nucleotide non-coding RNA. NCBI's taxonomy places the organism in Eukaryota, Metazoa, Chordata, Mammalia, Chiroptera, Pteropodidae. The record is from Rfam.